GUCGAACGGAUUAUUCUUUAUAGCUUGCUAUGGGGACAAUUAGUGGCAGACGGGUGAGUAAUGCAUAGGAAUCUACCUAGUAGUAUAGGAUAGCCACUAGAAGUGGUGGGUAAUACUGUAUAAUCCCUGCGGGGGAAAGAUUUAUCGCUACAUGAUGAGCCUAUGUUAGAUUAGCUAGUUGGUAGGGUAAAGGCCUACCAAGGCGAUGAUCUAUAGCUGGUCUGAGAGGAUGAUCAGCCACACUGGAACUGAGAUACGGUCCAGACUCCUACGGGAGGCAGCAGUGGGGAAUAUUGGACAAUGGGCGCAAGCCUGAUCCAGCUAUGCCGCGUGAGUGAGGAAGGCCUUAGGGUUGUAAAACUCUUUCAGUAGGGAAGAUAAUGACGGUAC
Molecule: ribosomal RNA, 390 nt
Filed under: Anaplasma phagocytophilum
Lineage: Bacteria; Pseudomonadati; Pseudomonadota; Alphaproteobacteria; Rickettsiales; Anaplasmataceae
Description: bacterial SSU rRNA
Rfam family: Bacterial small subunit ribosomal RNA
Source: RNAcentral